Molecule: ribosomal RNA, 548 nt
Filed under: Alternaria arborescens
Lineage: Eukaryota; Fungi; Ascomycota; Dothideomycetes; Pleosporales; Pleosporaceae
Description: eukaryotic LSU rRNA
Rfam family: 5.8S ribosomal RNA (bases 200-353)
Source: RNAcentral
CCCUCCCGUAGGGUGACCUGCGGAGGGAUCAUUACACAAAUAUGAAGGCGGGCUGGAACCUCUCGGGGUUACAGCCUUGCUGAAUUAUUCACCCUUGUCUUUUGCGUACUUCUUGUUUCCUUGGUGGGUUCGCCCACCACUAGGACAAACAUAAACCUUUUGUAAUUGCAAUCAGCGUCAGUAACAAAUUAAUAAUUACAACUUUCAACAACGGAUCUCUUGGUUCUGGCAUCGAUGAAGAACGCAGCGAAAUGCGAUAAGUAGUGUGAAUUGCAGAAUUCAGUGAAUCAUCGAAUCUUUGAACGCACAUUGCGCCCUUUGGUAUUCCAAAGGGCAUGCCUGUUCGAGCGUCAUUUGUACCCUCAAGCUUUGCUUGGUGUUGGGCGUCUUGUCUCUAGCUUUGCUGGAGACUCGCCUUAAAGUAAUUGGCAGCCGGCCUACUGGUUUCGGAGCGCAGCACAAGUCGCACUCUCUAUCAGCAAAGGUCUAGCAUCCAUUAAGCCUUUUGUCAACUUUGACCUCGGAUCAGGUAGGGUUUUCCCCCAAUU